CAGAAGACACUGACCUCCAGCUCCCGGGACUGCCAGCAGAGCGAGGACCAGCAGAGAAAACACAGACUGAAGGUUUGAGCGGGAAGUGAGCACCACCAUGACUGAAAUGGGACUCACCCGCUCCAGCUGGAUGUAGAACGUCUGGUCCCAGCUCAGCCUGCUGAUGGCUGCCCAGCGCGUCCGGCCGACCACUCUGCCGUCCAGCCUGAGCACGCCACUGAUCUCUGCGAUGGGUUUCUUUCUGCAGAGUUCCUUUCCAGUGCCAGCACUGCUGCUGCUGCUGCUCUGACAGCGCCGAUUGCCUGCUCAGGCCUCGGCAUUGGCCGUUGCAUGACCACAUGUUCCUGCUCUGCCACCAACCAAAAGGCAAGCAGAGCUGCUGGUGCUCUCUUUGGGACAAAGCAGAGAAGAGCCUGCGGUGCAUAUGGGGAUAUGUUUAACCUACUCUAACAAGAAUGAGAUGAGAGACUUAAAUAACUACACUGAUAGCAGGAGGUGGGAAAUCAGUUCCUGGAUAUAAUAAUGUAGCCUGUCUGGCUGUUUUUUACUGACAGCGUGGAUGUUAACAGUCACGCAUGACAGCUCUGUGGUUGUGGUCUCCCACUUUACUGCCUGUCAAAUUGAAAACAAUUAAUGUAGCUACACAAUGACACACUUGAACAGACAAUCCAUCACACUUGCCCUAAUUAGGCUGUUACACAUUCACCAGCUUGAAAUUGUCUCAUUAAAACGG
This is a long non-coding RNA of Oreochromis aureus, 733 nucleotides long. Lineage: Eukaryota; Metazoa; Chordata; Actinopteri; Cichliformes; Cichlidae. The record is from Ensembl.